This 28-nucleotide non-coding RNA is filed under the name Homo sapiens (human). Lineage: Eukaryota; Metazoa; Chordata; Mammalia; Primates; Hominidae. The record is from RNAcentral.
UGAUGACAGCAAGCCGGAAGCGGAUGGG